UACGUAGGGGGCAAGCGUUGUCCGGAAUUAUUGGGCGUAAAGCGCGCGCAGGCGGUCCCUUAAGUCUGAUGUGAAAGCCCCCGGCUCAACCGUGGAGGGUCAUUGGAAACUGGGGGACUUGAGUACAGAAGAGGAAAGCGGAAUUCCACGUGUAGCGGUGAAAUGCGUAGAGAUGUGGAGGAACACCAGUGGCGAAGGCGGCUUUCUGGUCUGUAACUGACGCUGAGGCGCGAAAGCUAGGGUAGCAAACGGG
Molecule: ribosomal RNA, 253 nt
Filed under: uncultured bacterium
Lineage: Bacteria
Description: partial 16S ribosomal RNA
Rfam family: Bacterial small subunit ribosomal RNA
Source: RNAcentral